Molecule: ribosomal RNA, 253 nt
Filed under: uncultured bacterium
Lineage: Bacteria
Description: partial 16S ribosomal RNA
Rfam family: Bacterial small subunit ribosomal RNA
Source: RNAcentral
UACGAAGGGGGCUAGCGUUGCUCGGAAUUACUGGGCGUAAAGCGCACGUAGGCGGCUCUUUAAGUCGGGGGUGAAAUCCUGGAGCUCAACUCCAGAACUGCCCUCGAUACUGUAGAGCUUGAGUUCGGGAGAGGUGAGUGGAACUGCGAGUGUAGAGGUGAAAUUCGUAGAUAUUCGCAAGAACACCAGUGGCGAAGGCGGCUCACUGGCCCGAUACUGACGCUGAGGUGCGAAAGCGUGGGGAGCAAACAGG